UCUGGUUUAAGGGAGCUUCGCGGCCGGCCCAGCGGCUCGGCUCUGUUUCCUCUCUCUCAGGCUUAAAAGUCAACCAUCGAGAGUCAAAUACGAAGUCGUCACUGCUCACAAAAGGUCGCGUCUUCACCGGGUGGGAUCAGUUGUGCCAGGGCCCGCCCCAGGAGAGCUGUGUCGGGGGCACUCACGCCGGCAGGUGUUGGAGAACACCAGAAGGUUCUGCUCCCUUCCUCCAGGCAGGCAGGGGCUUGGGGAUGAGAUCAGCUUUCUGAAUAGGGAUCUAAUUUAAAUAACGGCGGGUUUAAAUAAUGGUGAAUUCAUUAGCCCCGCUGGGGUGAGGUUUGCAUUUAUAAGAAGGCUGGGGGUGGGGAGGGGGCGCUAGGGGUGCUUUCCACUGAAAGAGAUGUCACUCAUCCUGGGCUAGGCCCUGUGGGCAUCCCUCCGGGUGAGGAAGGAGUGGGACUUGCUGGGCUCUCUCACUGGCUCAGGGAAAGAGGUCAUGGGAUGGGGUACCUGCCUUGGUCAUCCAGGGGCAUGGGAGCCCUACCUUGGGGGCAGUGAACAGGUGUGUCCACGUUAACAAGUUAUGUCCCUAAAACACUACAGCGCUGGCCCGGCCUGGGCUGGUGGGAAGCCAGCACGGAGCAGCCCCCGUGGUGGGGAGAUGGGGUCGGCCAGGGGACCCCGGAGUGUCAGAGAGGACCGGAGACAGGAGAGAACAUCCUGGAGCUACUGCCACCUCUGGGGGUGUUUCCUUCCUGGUUCAGCACAGUGUUCGGGAUAAAUAGCUCCUGUAGGGGUUGGCUGGCAGGACAUAAUAAAAGGAUUCAAUUAGCCGUGAAGUCGCGCACGUGUGUGUGUGUGUGUGUGUGUGUGUGUGUGUGUGUGUGUGACAGAGAGAAGGUGACCAAGACACAGCCUGGGGCAGCUGAGAUCUCCUGGCUUUCCUGACCCCGGGAAGGUGCCAUCACCUGCGGAGCACCCCAGAGGCUGAUGAGGCUCCUGCAGGGGUGCAGUGGGCCUGCAGCUGCCCUAGUUCUCGGAGCAGAUGCCGCCCCCAAGCUGAGGCCGAGCGGAUCUCCAGCUCCAUUUGGUUGCUGUCUUCAGCUGUGUGAAGCAAAUGAAUGCAAUCACUGGCUCAGCUCCCACUCGGGGCUGACAUUUCCCCUAAAUCCUCCACCCCCCACUCCCACACCCUCUGUGAUGCAACACAAUUCAUUCACUAUAAUUUGAAGGUUACAGUCAAAUUGCUCCAAGACAAGAAUGCGGACUGGAUCGGGUCAUACUUCCUGCCUUACGAAGGCUCAUCUUGGUUUCACAUCCAGAGGCCCUCCUGCAGCGUGUUGCCUCAAG
Molecule: long non-coding RNA, 1350 nt
Filed under: Vulpes vulpes (red fox)
Lineage: Eukaryota; Metazoa; Chordata; Mammalia; Carnivora; Canidae
Description: lncRNA (ENSVVUG00000023962.1)
Source: RNAcentral